GGGAGAACAGCUGGAGGAGCUGCAGUCAGAGGAGUCAGUCAGUACUCCGCAGGAGUCUGUAAUGUGUAGCAGGGCAUCAAUUCACCAGCUCCUGUUGUUCAUCAGGAGCUGGUGGAUGGAGACAAAGAGGAAGCAUAGACUGCUUUCUUUUCAACACCCCCACUGUUUCAGACUUUGAGCGCCUGGCCUUGUGGAAUGCUGUCGUACUAGUGACGAAACCAGUCUGGGUGUCGGGGGGUUGGCGAACGUCUGUUCCGGGGGAAGGAGACUAUUCACAAAGCUUCGGGACGUCACCACUGAUGCAACAAAAUACAGAGCCUGAGGUUCACGAGCCUGCACGGAGCCUCUUACAGCAUAGAACAGAAACAACUACUGGGUUCCCGAGUCAAGCCAGUUAUAUGCCACAUCAAUGAUCAACUAAUCUACCAGGUUUUGGCUUUAAAAUAACAAACACUGUCAAACUCCGCACAUUGUUUCAUGCAGAUCUGGACUGUUUUAUUGUGGGCAUGCCUGCUUAGU
This is a long non-coding RNA of Triplophysa rosa, 519 nucleotides long. RefSeq lists it as uncharacterized. The transcript is spliced from 3 exons. Lineage: Eukaryota; Metazoa; Chordata; Actinopteri; Cypriniformes; Nemacheilidae. The record is from RefSeq and is a predicted model, not a curated record.